This 497-nucleotide ribosomal RNA is filed under the name uncultured bacterium. RNAcentral describes it as "partial 16S ribosomal RNA". It matches the Rfam family "Bacterial small subunit ribosomal RNA", at positions 28 to 507 of the family's 1533-position model. The record is from RNAcentral.
GAUGAACGCUGGCGGCGUGCCUAAUACAUGCAAGUCGAGCGAACAGACGAGGAGCUUGCUCCUCUGACGUUAGCGGCGGACGGGUGAGUAACACGUGGAUAACCUACCUAUAAGACUGGGAUAACUUCGGGAAACCGGAGCUAAUACCGGAUAAUAUAUUGAACUGCAUGGUUCACUAGUGAAAGACGGUUUUGCUGUCACUUAUAGCUGGAUCCGCGCCGCAUUAGCUAGUUGGUAAGGUAACGGCUUACCCAGGCAACGAUGCGUAGCCGACCUGAAAGGGUGAUCGGCCACACUGGAAGUGAGACAGGGUCCAGACUCCUACGGGAGGCAGCAGUAGGGAAUCUUCCGCAAUGGGCGAAAGCCUAACGGAGCAACGCCGCGUGAGUGAUGAAGGUCUUCGGAUCGUAAAACUCUGUUAUUAGGGAAGAACAAAUGUGUAAGUAACUAUGCACGUCUUGACGGUACCUAGUCAGAAAGCCACGGCUAACUACGUG